GGAUUCCCCUAGUAACGGCGAGUGAAGCGGGAAGAGCUCAAAUUUAAAAUCUGCAAGGUUCAACCUUGCCGAAUUGUAGUUUGAAGAAGUGUUUUCCGCGGCGGCUGCAGUACAAAUCCUUUGGAACAGGGUAUCAGAGAGGGUGAGAAUCCCGUCUUUGACUGCAGACUAGUUGCACUGUGAUACACUUUCUAAGAGUCGAGUUGUUUGGGAAUGCAGCUCAAAAUGGGUGGUAAAUUUCAUCUAAAGCUAAAUAUUGGCAAGAGACCGAUAGCGAACAAGUACCGUGAGGGAAAGAUGAAAAGAACUUUGAAAAGAGAGUUAAAUAGUACGUGAAAUUGUUAAAAGGGAAACGCUUGAAGUCAGUGUUGCCGGCUGAAAAUCAGCUUCGUGCGGCGGGCUUGCUGCGGUGGAGGGAGUGUCAAAACCCCUUGCCGUAGUACAGCCAGCCGGAGGGAGUGCACUUUUCAGUCGGCAGGUCAACAUCAAUUUCGGCCGGUGGAAAAAAGCAAGUGGAAUGUAGGUUGGAGCGAUCUGACUGUUAUAGCCACUAGUGGAUACACCGGCUGGGAUUGAGGACAGCAGUGCAGGCCACUAUGGCGGAAGCGCAGCACUUUUCUCCGGGGGGCGUGUCAAGACAGCAAGCUGACUUGGUGCGUACACUCUUGGGAACGGGGCGGCCGUACUUCUCCAGCACUAAGGAUGUUGACGAAAUGGCUUUAAACGACCCGUCUUGAAACACGGACCAAGGAGUCUAACAAAUAUGCGAGUAUUUGGGUGGCAAACCCAUAUGCGCAAUGAAAGUGAAUGUAGGUGGGAUCCCGUUGGGGAGCACCAUCGACCGAUCUGGAUUAAUUUAUGAUAGAUUUGAGUAAGAGCAUAUCUGUUGGGACCCGAAAGAUGGUGAACUAUGCCUGAAUAGGGUGAAGCCAGAGGAAACUCUGGUGGAGGCUCGUAGCGAUUCUGACGUGCAAAUCGAUCGUCAAAUUUGGGUAUAGGGGCGAAAGACUAA
This 1012-nucleotide ribosomal RNA is filed under the name Basidiobolus haptosporus var. minor. RNAcentral's name for it is "eukaryotic LSU rRNA". It matches the Rfam family "Eukaryotic large subunit ribosomal RNA", at positions 72 to 934 of the family's 3401-position model. The record is from RNAcentral. Lineage: Eukaryota; Fungi; Basidiobolomycota; Basidiobolomycetes; Basidiobolales; Basidiobolaceae.